GUGGGGAAUAUUGGACAAUGGGCGAAAGCCUGAUCCGGCCAUGCCGCGUGUGUGAAGAAGGUCUUCGGAUUGUAAAGCACUUUAAGUUGGGAGGAAGGGCAGUAAGUUAAUACCUUGCUGUUUUGACGUUACCGACAGAAUAAGCACCGGCUAACUUCGUGCCAGCAGCCGCGGUAAUACGAAGGGUGCAAGCGUUAAUCGGAAUUACUGGGCGUAAAGCGCGCGUAGGUGGUUCAGUAAGUUGGAAGUGAAAUCCCCGGGCUCAACCUGGGAACUGCCUCCAAAACUGCAUGACUAGAGUACGGUAGAGGGUAGUGGAAUUUCCUGUGUAGCGGUGAAAUGCGUAGAUAUAGGAAGGAACACCAGUGGCGAAGGCGACUACCUGGACUGAUACUGACACUGAGGUGCGAAAGCGUGGGGAGCAAACAGGAUUAGAUACCCGGGUAGUCC
This 450-nucleotide ribosomal RNA is filed under the name uncultured bacterium. RNAcentral's name for it is "partial 16S ribosomal RNA". It matches the Rfam family "Bacterial small subunit ribosomal RNA", at positions 354 to 796 of the family's 1533-position model. The record is from RNAcentral.